GACGAACGCUGGCGGCGUGCUUAACACAUGCAAGUCGAACGGAAAGGCCCUGCUUUUGUGGGGUGCUCGAGUGGCGAACGGGUGAGUAACACGUGAGUAACCUGCCCUUGACUUUGGGAUAACUUCAGGAAACUGGGGCUAAUACCGGAUAGGAGCUCCUGCUGCAUGGUGGGGGUUGGAAAGUUUCGGCGGUUGGGGAUGGACUCGCGGCUUAUCAGCUUGUUGGUGGGGUAGUGGCUUACCAAGGCUUUGACGGGUAGCCGGCCUGAGAGGUUGACCAGCCACAUUGGGACUGAGAGACGGCGCAGACGCCUACGGUAGGCAGCAGUGGGGAGUAUUGCACAAUGGGCGGAAGCCUGAUGCAGCAACGCCGCGUGCGGGAUGACGGCCUUCGGGUUAUAAACCGCUUUCGCCGGUGACGAGGCGUGAGUGACGGUAAUGGGUAAAGAAGCACCGGCUAACUACGUG
RNAcentral lists this ribosomal RNA (468 nucleotides) under uncultured bacterium. RNAcentral describes it as "partial 16S ribosomal RNA". It matches the Rfam family "Bacterial small subunit ribosomal RNA", at positions 28 to 507 of the family's 1533-position model. The record is from RNAcentral.